Trichobilharzia regenti is the source of this 46-nucleotide non-coding RNA. The record is from Rfam. Lineage: Eukaryota; Metazoa; Platyhelminthes; Trematoda; Strigeidida; Schistosomatidae.
GUACUGAUGAAGAGUCUCAGACUAGGAUGAAACAGCUGUCUAGUAC